RNAcentral lists this ribosomal RNA (465 nucleotides) under Vreelandella stevensii. RNAcentral describes it as "partial 16S ribosomal RNA". It matches the Rfam family "Bacterial small subunit ribosomal RNA", at positions 338 to 795 of the family's 1533-position model. The record is from RNAcentral. Lineage: Bacteria; Pseudomonadati; Pseudomonadota; Gammaproteobacteria; Oceanospirillales; Halomonadaceae.
CCUACGGGCGGCAACAGUGGGGAAUAUUGGACAAUGGGGGGAACCCUGAUCCAGCCAUGCCGCGUGUGUGAAGAAGGCCCUCGGGUUGUAAAGCACUUUCAGUGAGGAAGAACGCCUGGUGGUUAAUACCCAUCAGGAAAGACAUCACUCACAGAAGAAGCACCGGCUAACUCCGUGCCAGCAGCCGCGGUAAUACGGAGGGUGCGAGCGUUAAUCGGAAUUACUGGGCGUAAAGCGCGCGUAGGUGGCUUGAUAAGCCGGUUGUGAAAGCCCCGGGCUCAACCUGGGAACGGCAUCCGGAACUGUCAAGCUAGAGUGCAGGAGAGGAAGGUAGAAUUCCCGGUGUAGCGGUGAAAUGCGUAGAGAUCGGGAGGAAUACCAGUGGCGAAGGCGGCCUUCUGGACUGACACUGACACUGAGGUGCGAAAGCGUGGGUAGCAAACAGGAUUAGAUACCCCAGUAGUC